AACGGCCGUACCAUGCUGAAUAUACCGGUUCUCGUUAGAUCACCGAAGUGAAGCAUCAUUGGGCGCGGUCAGUACUUGUGACCAUCUGGGAACACCGCGUGCCGUU
Non-coding RNA from Caerostris darwini, 106 nucleotides. NCBI's taxonomy places the organism in Eukaryota, Metazoa, Arthropoda, Arachnida, Araneae, Araneidae. The record is from the annotation of a GenBank genome assembly.